RNAcentral lists this long non-coding RNA (223 nucleotides) under Elaeis guineensis (African oil palm). RNAcentral's name for it is "long non-coding RNA (EGUI_LNC014093)". Lineage: Eukaryota; Viridiplantae; Streptophyta; Magnoliopsida; Arecales; Arecaceae. The record is from RNAcentral.
CCAAAGUUCUCUCUGACUUCACAUCGAAGGGUCCAGCCAAAGCCACUUCAACAAGCUUUUUUCUUUUUGGUGUACAAGACAAUAGACACAUCAUCAACUGUUGGAGCUUGGAUUGCAUUAGAACCCUCUAAUCGUCAAUUGGAUUUUGGACUUGUUGCUGCAAGUCUCCAGGUUGGUGUGGUUGUGGUUGGUCUCCUACCGAUGUAGUACUAGGCAAUUGGUU